RNAcentral lists this ribosomal RNA (242 nucleotides) under uncultured bacterium. RNAcentral's name for it is "partial 16S ribosomal RNA". It matches the Rfam family "Bacterial small subunit ribosomal RNA", at positions 118 to 347 of the family's 1533-position model. The record is from RNAcentral.
UGGGUAACCUGCCUCAAAGAGGGGAAUAGCCUCCCGAAAGGGAGAUUAAUACCGCAUAAUAUGUUUAGGUCGCAUGACUUUAACAUCAAAGGAUUUUCUUUUAGAAAUUCCACUUUGAGAUGGACCCGCGGCGCAUUAGCUAGUUGGUGAGGUAACGGCUCACCAAGGCAACGAUGCGUAGCCGACCUGAGAGGGUGAUCGGCCUCAUUGGAACUGAGACACGGCCCAGACUCCGUAGGGAG